RNAcentral lists this ribosomal RNA (440 nucleotides) under uncultured bacterium. RNAcentral describes it as "partial 16S ribosomal RNA". It matches the Rfam family "Bacterial small subunit ribosomal RNA", at positions 338 to 795 of the family's 1533-position model. The record is from RNAcentral.
CCUACGGGUGGCAGCAGUAGGGAAUAUUGCUCAAUGGGGGAAACCCUGAAGCAGCAACGCCGCGUGGAGGAUGAAGGUUUUCGGAUUGUAAAAUCCUUUUGUUAGAGAAGAUAAUGACGGUAUCUAACGAAUAAGCACAGGCUAACUCCGUGCCAGCAGCCGCGGUAAUACGGCGGGUGCAAGCGUUACUCGGAAGCACUGGGCGUAAAGAGCGCGUAGGCGGGAUAGCAAGUCAGAUGUGAAAUCCUAGGGCUUAACCAUAGAACUGCAUUUGAAACUGUUAUUCUAGAGUAUGGGAGAGGUAGGUGGAAUUCUUGGUGUAGGGGUAAAAUCCGUAGAGAUCAUGAGGAAUACUCAUUGCGAAGGCGACCUGCUAGAACAUAACUGACGCUGAUGCGCGAAAGCGUGGGGAGCAAACAGGAUUAGAUACCCCUGUAGUC